RNAcentral lists this ribosomal RNA (451 nucleotides) under uncultured bacterium. RNAcentral's name for it is "partial 16S ribosomal RNA". It matches the Rfam family "Bacterial small subunit ribosomal RNA", at positions 28 to 507 of the family's 1533-position model. The record is from RNAcentral.
GAUGAAUGCUGGCGGCGUGCCUAACACAUGCAAGUCGAGCGGCAGCGCGGGGUGCUUGCACCCUGGCGGCUAGCGGCGAACGGCUGAGUAACACGUAGGUAUUCUACCUAAAGUACGGAGUAACUUUCCGAAAGGGUAGCUAAUGCCGCAUAUGGUCUUCGGAUUACAGGAUUUAUCCGCGUUUGGAGAAGUCUGAGUGGGAUUAGGUUGUUUGUAGGCUUAUGUCCUACCAAGGCGACGAACCAUAGCUGGUCGGAGAGGAUGCUCCGCCAGACUGGAACUGAGACACGGUCCAGACUCCUACGGGAGGCAGCAGUGAGGAAUCUACCACAAUGGGCGAAAGCCUGAUGGACCAACGCCGCGUGAAGGAUGAAGGCCUUCGGGUUGUAAACUUCUUGUAUGAGUGCAGAAUAUGACGGUACCUAAUGAAUAAGCCACGGCUAACUACGUG